GACGAACGCUGGCGGCGUGCUUAACACAUGCAAGUCGAACGGAAAGGCCCUGCUUUUGUGGGGUGCUCGAGUGGCGAACGGGUGAGUAACACGUGAGUAACCUGCCCUUGACUUUGGGAUAACUUCAGGAAACUGGGGCUAAUACCGGAUAGGAGCUCCUGCUGCAUGGUGGGGGUUGGAAAGUUUCGGCGGUUGGGGAUGGACUCGCGGCUUAUCAGCUUGUUGGUGGGGUAGUGGCUUACCAAGGCUUUGACGGGUAGCCGGCCUGAGAGGGUGACCGGCCACAUUGGGACUGAGAUGCGGGCGAGACUGCUACGGGAGGCAGCAGUGGGGAAUAUUGCACAAUGGGCGGAAGCCUGAUGCAGCAACGCCGCGUGCGGGAUGACGGCCUUCGGGUUGUAACCCGCAUUCGCCUGUGACGAAGCGUGAGUGACGGUAAUGGGUAAAGAAGCACCGGCUAACUACGUG
This 468-nucleotide ribosomal RNA is filed under the name uncultured bacterium. Its description in RNAcentral is "partial 16S ribosomal RNA". It matches the Rfam family "Bacterial small subunit ribosomal RNA", at positions 28 to 507 of the family's 1533-position model. The record is from RNAcentral.